AUUGAACGCUGGCGGCAGGCCUAAUACAUGCAAGUCGAACGGUAACAUAAGAAAGCUUGCUUUCUUGAUGACGAGUGGCGGACGGGUGAGUAAUAUUUGGGAAGCUACCUGAUAGAGGGGGACAACAGCUGGAAACGACUGCUAAUACCGCAUACAGCCUGAGGGUGAAAGCAGCAAUGCGCUAUCAGAUGCGCCCAAACGGGAUUAGCUAGUAGGUGAGGUAAAGGCUCACCUAGGCGACGAUCUCUAGCUGGUCUGAGAGGAUGAUCAGCCACAUUGGGACUGAGACACGGCCCAGACUCCUACGGGAGGCAGCAGUAGGGAAUAUUGCACAAUGGAGGAAACUCUGAUGCAGCCAUGCCGCGUGUGUGAAGAAGGCCUUC
Molecule: ribosomal RNA, 383 nt
Filed under: uncultured bacterium
Lineage: Bacteria
Description: bacterial SSU rRNA
Rfam family: Bacterial small subunit ribosomal RNA
Source: RNAcentral